Molecule: small nuclear RNA, 123 nt
Filed under: Dicentrarchus labrax (European seabass)
Lineage: Eukaryota; Metazoa; Chordata; Actinopteri; Moronidae
Description: U1 spliceosomal RNA (ENSDLAG00005033667.1)
Rfam family: U1 spliceosomal RNA
About the family: U1 is a small nuclear RNA (snRNA) component of the spliceosome (involved in pre-mRNA splicing). Its 5' end forms complementary base pairs with the 5' splice junction, thus defining the 5' donor site of an intron.
Source: RNAcentral
AUACUUACCUGGCAGGGGAGAUACCAUGAUCAAGAAGGUGGUUCACCUUGGGCGAGGCCUGACCAUUGCACUCCGGUUGGGUUGACCUCAACGAAUGGGGAUGGGGCGUAGGGGAGUGCAAGC